Molecule: ribosomal RNA, 1058 nt
Filed under: fungal sp.
Lineage: Eukaryota; Fungi
Description: eukaryotic LSU rRNA
Rfam family: Eukaryotic large subunit ribosomal RNA (bases 484-1058)
Source: RNAcentral
AUUACCGAGUUAUACAACUCAUCAACCCUGUGAACAUACCUAAACGUUGCUUCGGCGGGAACAGACGGCCCCGUAACACGGGCCGCCCCCGCCAGAGGACCCCCUAACUCUGUUUCUAUAAUGUUUCUUCUGAGUAAAACAAGCAAAUAAAUUAAAACUUUCAACAACGGAUCUCUUGGCUCUGGCAUCGAUGAAGAACGCAGCGAAAUGCGAUAAGUAAUGUGAAUUGCAGAAUUCAGUGAAUCAUCGAAUCUUUGAACGCACAUUGCGCCCGCCAGUAUUCUGGCGGGCAUGCCUGUUCGAGCGUCAUUACAACCCUCAGGCCCCCGGGCCUGGCGUUGGGGAUCGGCGGAGCCCCCCGCGGGCACACGCCGUCCCCCAAAUACAGUGGCGGUCCCGCCGCAGCUUCCAUUGCGUAGUAGCUAACACCUCGCAACUGGAGAGCGGCGCGGCCACGCCGUAAAACCCCCAACUUCUGAACGUUGACCUCGAAUCAGGUAGGAAUACCCGCUGAACUUAAGCAUAUCAAUAAGCGGAGGAAAAGAAACCAACAGGGAUUGCCCUAGUAACGGCGAGUGAAGCGGCAACAGCUCAAAUUUGAAAUCUGGCUCUCGGGCCCGAGUUGUAAUUUGUAGAGGAUGCUUUUGGUGAGGUGCCUUCCGAGUUCCCUGGAACGGGACGCCACAGAGGGUGAGAGCCCCGUCUGGUUGGACACCGAUCCUCUGUAAAGCUCCUUCGACGAGUCGAGUAGUUUGGGAAUGCUGCUCUAAAUGGGAGGUAUAUGUCUUCUAAAGCUAAAUACCGGCCAGAGACCGAUAGCGCACAAGUAGAGUGAUCGAAAGAUGAAAAGAACUUUGAAAAGAGAGUUAAAAAGUACGUGAAAUUGUUGAAAGGGAAGCGCUUGUGACCAGACUUGGGCUUGGUUGAUCAUCCAGGGUUCUCCCUGGUGCACUCUUCCGGCCCAGGCCAGCAUCAGUUCGCCCCGGGGGAAAAAGGCUUCGGGAAUGUGGCUCUCUCCGGGGAGUGUUAUAGCCCGUUGCGUAAUACCCUGUGGCGGA